ACACGACUACAUUAGAUACCCGGGUAGUCCUAGCCGUAAACGAUACUCGCUAGGUGUCGGCCACGGUGCGACCGUUGUCGGUGCCGUAGGGAAGCCGUGAAGCGAGCCACCUGGGAAGUACGGCCGCAAGGCUGAAACUUAAAGGAAUUGGCAGGGGAGCACAACAACGGGUGGAGCUUGCGGUUUAAUUGGAUUCAACGCCGGAAAUCUUACCGGGACCGACAGCAACAUGAAGGCCAAGCUGAAGACUUUGCCGGAUUAGCUG
RNAcentral lists this ribosomal RNA (265 nucleotides) under uncultured archaeon. RNAcentral's name for it is "partial 16S ribosomal RNA". It matches the Rfam family "Archaeal small subunit ribosomal RNA", at positions 717 to 982 of the family's 1478-position model. The record is from RNAcentral.